Long non-coding RNA from Neoarius graeffei (lesser salmon catfish), 4256 nucleotides. RefSeq lists it as uncharacterized. Lineage: Eukaryota; Metazoa; Chordata; Actinopteri; Siluriformes; Ariidae. The transcript is spliced from 3 exons. The record is from RefSeq and is a predicted model, not a curated record.
GCGCUGGUUAGUGAAUGGAGGGCGAGGCAGGAGAAGGUGAGUGACAAAGUGCGGACACCUGUUGUCAACUGAUGUUGUGUGUGUGUGUGUGUGUGUGUUUAUGCAAAGUCCCAACAUUAAACUGGAAAGCAAAUUUACAAAUAAAAAGGACUGUGUAAAACAUCAUUUCCUCCCUGCCUGCCCUCCAGUGUUCCACACACGCCCCAGGGAAAUCCUACACUAACCCCUGUGUUCCAAACUUUAUUUUGGUCAUCAAACACACACACACAAGUUGCAAAUAUUUUAACCCUUAUUUCAACAACAAUGACAGAAGGGGCACACAGAGUCUCUUCCAUGAGUAUGGGAACAGCAAGGCCAUUUUUUUCUAGAACCUGAAAACAUUUGGAUUUGAGAUCAGAAGAUAAAUAGGAUAUGAUUAAUCAGAAUUUCAGCUUUCAUUACCUGACAUUUUACAUCUUGAAGUAUUAAACAGCAGGUGCUUCUUGUUGAAUGUUUAAACAAUUAAAAGCUCUGAAUGUCUCCUCUUGGUUUGAGUCCUGGGACUGCAUUUGCUGUUAAAAAGAUUGUUUUCUGAUGCCUCCAAAUGAUUUUUCUUCAUCUUUUUUCCUCUGCUUCUUUUUCAGACUCCAACUCCACAUGAACCCACAGAUUCACCAACCAAAUGGCGGAUUACACUGAUCUACAGGUAGUGAGUAGCAGCCAAGAACAGAUGCUUGGACAACAUCACCAGCAUUUUGAUUCCGUGACUCAGUCCAUCAAUACUCUCACGCAACAGCAAGACAUGAACCACUGAGCUGCCCUAUAAACUUCAAUUCAGCAGCACCAUCACCUGUAUCAUCUGUUAACCCAGCUCAAUGGAAUCCAAGUUCAAGACUAUAUUGCAUUAUAGCUGUGGACGGACAUCAAUGGACCAAGGUCUGAAAUCACGUGCUUGUUCUGCUAGUUAUAACACUCAAAUUCAUUACAGCACCUAAACCUUAAAAUAAUGAAAAAGCUACAUUUUCAUGUCACUAAGCUGAGCUGAGUUUAAUAUGCUUCGAACAGUUCCCUCAGUUUUAACAUUCUCUCUUUCUCAAGACAAAUAAACUUGCUAGCUAACAUCCACUAGUAUGGCUUAGUGUGACAAGCUUCAUGACAGUAAAUGUUUAUGUUGCUAAUACAGUUAGACUUUUUGGGUUUGUAAUGUUUUGAAUAUUACAUGUGUUUAAUUUAUAUGCUUUAUAGUAAUGCUACAUUCAACUGAAUUCAGAAGUGGAAAUUUAGAACUCAGAAUUACUGCAUUUUUGCAUUUGAGCUACAAAUUGUGGGGGGACACCCCCAUGUUUGCCUUUUGUUAGCAACACGCUAGCCACUAACUGUGAUGAGUGCUGCAUUCUGACCUCCUCAAAACAGCAAAACUGUAUAGUUAGUAUCAUCAUGAGCCAAUAUGUCUGUAUGUUGAUUAUUUCUCUUAGCAAUAUUUCAUCUCAGAAAUAUUGCUAAGAUAAGAACUUUAAUGUUACUAGAUCUCAUCUCAUUAUCUCUAGCUGCUUUAUCCUGUUCUACAGGGUGACGCGGAAAAACUAGUUCAUGCUUUCGUUCCCUCCAGGUUGGAUUAUUGUAAUGCCUUACUGUCUGGAUGUUCCAAUAAGUGCAUAAACAAGCUCCAGUUAGUUCAAAAUGCAGCAGCAACAGUCCUUACUAGAACUAGAAAAUAUGACCACAUCACCCCUGUCUUAUCAGAAUCAGAAACACUUUUAUUGCGAGGUAUGUGGACACACACGAGGAAUUUGACUCUGGUUCACUUAGCUCUCAUAGUACAAAACAGAUAAAAAAAAGUAUACACAAAACAAAUAAACAAGCAAACAACAACAACAACAAAAAUAGGUGCAUAGUGCAAAGUAAUCCAGGUAAGUCAAGUAUGGAAUAGUUAAAUAAAUAUAAAGUAUACAGCGUGCACAGAAUGACGGUAUAAGUGUUCAGAUAUUUUACAAGUAGUAUUACUGAUAUAUGAAUCUGGAUUUUAGCUGUUCAUCACAGAGACAGCCUGAGGGAAGAAACUAUUCUUGUGUCUAGUUGUUUUUGCAUACAGUGAUCUAUAUUGCCUCCCUGAGGGGAGAAGAUUAAACAGAUUGUGACCAGGGUGUGAUGGGUCCGCAGAGAUGUUACCUGCCCGUUUCCUGACUCUGGACAAGUAUAGGACUUGGAUGGAGGGCAGGUUGACACCAGUAAUUUUCUCUGCAGACCUUAUUGUCCGUUGCAGUCUGUUCUUCUCCUGUUUGGUGACCGAUCCAAAUCAAACAGUGAUGGAAGAGCAGAGAACAGACUGAAUGAUGGCAGAGUAGAAUUGUGUCAGCAGCUCCUUAGGCAGGUUGAGCUUCCUGAGCUGGCACAGAAAGUACAACCUCUGCUGAGCCUUUUUGAUGAUAGUGACUGUGUUUGUCUCCCACUUCAAGUCCUGAGAGAUUGUGGAACCCAGAAACCUGAAGCUUUCAACGGCAGUCACAGUGUUGUUGGUGAUGGUGAUGGGCAGCAGAGUGGGGGGGGCUCCUCCUAAAGUCCACUGUCAUCUCCACAGUUUUGAGCAUGUUCAGCUCCAGAUUGUUCUGACCGCACCACCAGACCAGCCGUUCAACCUCCCGUCUGUAUGCAGACUCGUCACCGUCCCAGAUGAGGCUGAUGACCGUUGUCUCAUCUCAUCUCAUUAUCUGUAGCCACUUUAUCCUGUUCUACAGGGUCACAGGCAAGCUGGAGCCUAUCCCAGCUGACUACGGGGGAAAGGUGGGGUACACCCUGGACAAGUCGCCAGGUCAUCACAGGGCUGACACAUACGGUAGACACAGACAACCAUUCACACUCACAUUCACACCUACAGUCAAUUUAGAGUCACCAGUUAACCUAACCUGCAUGUCUUUGGACUGUGGGGGAAACCGGAGCACCCGGAGGAAACCCACGCGGACACAGGGAGAACAUGCAAACUCUGCACAGAAAGGCCCUUGCCGGCCACGGGCCUCGAACCCGGACCUUGAUGACCGUUGUAUUGUCUACAAAUUUCAGGAGUUUAACAGACAGGUCUCUUGAGGUGCAAUCGUUGGUAUAAAGGGAGAAGAGCAGUGGGGAGAGCACACAUGGGGGGCUCCAGUGCUGAUAGUCUGAGUGCUGGAUAUGAUGCUCCCCAUCCUCACCUGCUGCUUCCUGUCAGUGAGGAAGUUUGUAAUCCACUGACAGGUGGAGGAGGGCACAGUGAGCUGGGUGAGCUUGGUGUGAAGGAUAUCUGGAACAAUGGUGUUGAACGCCGAACUGAAGUCCACGAACAGGAUCCUGGCGUACGUCCCUGCAGAGUCAAGGUGUUGCAGGAUGUAGUGCAGUCCCAUAUUGAUUGCAUCAUCCGCUGACCUGUUUGCCCAGUAGGCAAACUGCAGAGGGUCCAGCAGGGGGUCUGUGAUGUCCUUCAGGUGUGACAACACCAGUCUCUCAAAGGACUUCAUGACUACAGAUGUGAGAGCUACAGGCCUAUAGUCAUUCAGUCCUGUGAUGGUGGUUUUCUUGGGAACCAGGAUUAUUGUGGAGCGUUUGAAGCAGUGUGAAGGACUUCACACAGGUCCAGGGAUCUAUUGAAGAUCUGGGUGAAGAUGGGAGCCAGCUGAUCAGCACAGACCUUCAGACAGGAGGGUGACAUACCAUCUGGGCCAGGUGCCUUCCUGAUUUUCUGUCUGUGAAAAAGCUGAAAAACAUCCUCUUCACAGAUCUUGAGUGCUGGUGUGGGGUCAGAGGCGAGAGGAGGCAGAAUAGCAGGGGGUGUAAAUGGGUCUUUAAUGUCUGAAGGGGGGAGAGGUGUGAAUUUGUCGAAUCUGGAGUAGAACACAUUCAACUCCUCAGACAGUUGAUGGUUCAUUGCAGUGUAGGGGGAUGGUCUCCUGUAGUUAGUGAUAUUCUUCAGACCUGUCCACACUGAUGCUGGAUCAUUGGCUGAAAGGCUGUUUUUGAUCCUUUCAGCAUAGCUCGUCUUAGCUGAUUUCACCUCUUUCAUCAGUGACUACGUUUACAUGCACGUCCAAAUCGAGCUGCUGUUGGUAAUCGAGCAAAGGGUCCCAGCAGGGGUGCCAGAGAAAUCCAAUCCUACAUGCACAAGUGAAAUCGGGCUAUUGUGCAAGGUGCAUUGUGCACCCGAGCCACACGUGGCGCUACACGCCCCAUCGUGUUGGUACACUUCCGGUUGUCGUCAUGAAGAAGAGCUAUAGUGUUGCCAGAUACUGCUGACGUUUUCCAGCCCAAAA